RNAcentral lists this ribosomal RNA (468 nucleotides) under uncultured bacterium. RNAcentral's name for it is "partial 16S ribosomal RNA". It matches the Rfam family "Bacterial small subunit ribosomal RNA", at positions 28 to 507 of the family's 1533-position model. The record is from RNAcentral.
GACGAACGCUGGCGGCGUGCUUAACACAUGCAAGUCGAACGGAAAGGCCCUGCUUUUGUGGGUUGCUCGAGUGGCGAACGGGUGAGUAACACGUGAGUAACCUGCCCUUGACUUUGGGAUAACUUCAGGAAACUGGGGCUAAUACCGGAUAGGAGCUCCUGCGGCAUGGUGGGGGUUGGAAAGUUUCGGCGUUUGGGGAUGGACUCGCGGCUUAUCAGCGUGUUGGUGGGGUAGUGGCUUACCAAGGCUUUGACGGGUAGCCGGCCUGAGAGGGUGACCGGCCACAUUGGGACUGAGAUACGGCCCAGACUCCUACGGGAGGCAGCAGUGGGGACUAUUGCACAAUGGGCGGAAGCCUGAUGCAGCAACGCCGCGUGGGGGAUGACGGUCUUCGGGUUGUAAACCGCUUUCGCCUGUGACGAAGCGUGAGUGACGGUAAUGGGUAAAGAAGCACCGGCUAACUACGUG